RNAcentral lists this ribosomal RNA (492 nucleotides) under uncultured bacterium. RNAcentral's name for it is "partial 16S ribosomal RNA". It matches the Rfam family "Bacterial small subunit ribosomal RNA", at positions 29 to 506 of the family's 1533-position model. The record is from RNAcentral.
ACGAACGCUGGCGGCGUGCUUAACACAUGCAAGUCGAACGGUGAAGCGCCUUCCUUUUUGGUGGGUGUGGAUGAGUGGCGAACGGGUGAGUAACACGUGAGUAACCUGCCCCCUUCUUCUGGAUAACCGCAUGAAAGUGUGGCUAAUACGGGAUAUUCUGGGUCUGUCGCAUGAUGGGUCUGGGAAAGAUAUUGUUUCGGUGGGGGAUGGGCUCGCGGCCUAUCAGCUUGUUGGUGGGGUGAUGGCCUACCAAGGCGGUGACGGGUAGCCGGCCUGAGAGGGUGGACGGUCACACUGGGACUGAGGCACGGCCCAGACUCCUACGGGAGGCAGCAGUGGGGAAUAUUGCACAAUGGGCGCAAGCCUGAUGCAGCGACGCCGCGUGAGGGAUGGAGGCCUUCGGGUUGUGAACCUCUUUCGCCAGUGAAGCAGGCCUGCCUCGUUUGUGGGUGGGUUGACGGUAGCUGGAUAAGAAGCGCCGGCUAACUACGU